UACGUAGGGGGCAAGCGUUAUCCGGAUUUACUGGGUGUAAAGGGAGCGUAGACGGAACGGCAAGUUUGAAGUGAAAUACCCGGGCUUAACUCGGGAACUGCUUUGAAAACUGUCGAUCUAGAGUGUCGGAGAGGUAAGUGGAAUUCCUGGUGUAGUAGUGAAAUGCGUAGAUAUCAGGAAGAACACCGGAGGCGAAGGCGGCUUACUGGACGAUAACUGACGUUGAGGCUCGAAAGCGUGGGGAGCAAACAGG
This 253-nucleotide ribosomal RNA is filed under the name Oribacterium sinus. Its description in RNAcentral is "partial 16S ribosomal RNA". It matches the Rfam family "Bacterial small subunit ribosomal RNA", at positions 524 to 776 of the family's 1533-position model. The record is from RNAcentral. Lineage: Bacteria; Bacillati; Bacillota; Clostridia; Lachnospirales; Lachnospiraceae.